UCCCCUGGAGCACCACGUCUUAAGACGGUC
This 30-nucleotide small RNA is filed under the name Bombyx mori (domestic silkworm). Its description in RNAcentral is "ovarian small RNA-27251". Lineage: Eukaryota; Metazoa; Arthropoda; Insecta; Lepidoptera; Bombycidae. The record is from RNAcentral.